CCGGGUAUUUUGCAUAUUCAUUAAGCAAAACAAUCGAUUUCUCCUCAAAAUUCACCCCAAAAUUGGUUCCGGAGUGGCUCCAGAUCAGCCUGGGGGAAUUUCCAGGAGCGGGAAUUGAUUCCCAGGAAUUUCCACUGGAACAGAUUGUCCAGGGAAUGUUUGGCUCUGCCUCAGUGGGGAUAUCCAGAGCCAUCCCAAAAAUCCUGUGCCAGCUUUGAGCGGGAUGCCUUCCCGCCUGAGGAAUCCCCAAAUUACCCGAUGAAUUCCAUAAAAAAUCCCAAUUAGUUCCAUAAAACACCCAUUCCGGAGUUCUGGGAUUCUCCCAGCUCAGGGGAUCCACCCAAAUCCUCGGAAAAUCAGCAAAGCUCCGUGAAAUUCCUCAAUUUUCCCAGCUUCCACGGGAUUAAAGUUUUUCCUCUCAUAUUUAAUCCUCCCUCGAGGCAUUUUCAGCUGAAAAUUGGGAUGGGAUAGCGGGAAGUGUCCCUGUGCCUGGAAAAGGGUUGGAAUGGGAUGGGAUUUAAUCCCCUUCCCACCCUAGACCAUCCCAGGACUGGAAAUCCAGGCAGAAAUGGUAAAAUCCCCUCCGGAAUUCACUUUUCGCGGGAAUCCUGGGGUGGGGAGGCAGCAGGGAUUCCCAUGGAAAAGGGAAUAACGCGGGUAAACAACCCCAAAAUAAUUAGCAGUAAUUAAGAUUAUUACACAUGAGGGGAGGGCAAUUAAAGCCUCGCGCCCAAAGGCUGCCUCAGCUUCCUGGAAGUUCGGGAGUUCUUAUAAAACUCCAAGGAUUUGGGGCUCCCCCCGGACAUUCCCGUCGAUUCCUUCCUGGAAUAUUGGUUCUCCCCGGAUCCUCCCAGAUGUGCUCGGAAUUCCAGGGCCCAUGUCCGCCGCCUUCGGCCUCCGGCUCCAGCCAGCCCUGCGUGGUUUCCUGCGGCGCUUCCCGCGUCAUCAUCUUCCCUCCUCCCGUGCUCGUGACAUUCCCGGGGCCCAUCAUCAGCACCUGCCCGCAGGAGACCGUGGUGGGAUCCUCGGGAAUGGUGCUGGGAUCCUCUGGAAUGCCCGAGGAAGGAGCGGGAAGCUCCCUGAGGUCCCACGGAGUGGAAAUCCCGCGUCGCGGGGAGUUCAUCCCAAAAUUCACCUCUGGGCCCGUCCUCGGUGUGGACCCACGGGAGACCUUGGUGGGAUCCUUGGGAAUGCUGGAGGGAGGAGCGGGAACUUCCCGAACCUCCCUGAGAUCCCACGGGGCGCAAAUCCCGCGUUCCCGGGGUUUCAUCCCAAAAUUCGGCCCCCGGCGAGCGUCGCGCUGCUCCUACAUUUUUAAUUCCCGCUGGAUCCAUCCCUGCCGGAGGAGCAGCUGUGGGAGCCAGCAGCUGGCCGGGAAUGGGCGCGAGGAGAAAAUUCCAGAUCCGGAAAAGCCAGGAACGGAAAACACGGAUGCAGAAAAGGAGGAAAACGAGGUCUUGGAAGUGUGAGGCGGCUCCGGCCCCAAUCCAAAGGCUCUGGAGGAUCCUCCAAAGCAGAUUUGGGAAUUUAAGUUCAGUUUAAGUUGGGAUCUUUUUAAGGUUGGGGUAUUUUGAGGUUUUUUUCCCCCCUCAGACAUUCCCAAGUGGCGGAAUUAAGCCAUUAAAUUCCAUUUUCUCCAAAUUCGGGGGUAACCUGACCCUUGGAAUCUGAUUUGUGGGAGCAGUUUGUUGUUUUCCCGUGGUUUUCCAGAGAAACUGAGAUUGAGGAACACCCCAAGUGUGGUCAGACCUGACAAAGCCUUUCCCUGCCAGGCCUAAUUAAGCCUGGCUUAGGUUUUAUGGGAAUUACUCAGCAGGAAAUUCCCUUUUCCCUGGGAUAAAUACAAACACAAUCCCAUCACCGCUUCCCGGCUUUCACUUUCACUGCAGGAAAGUCGGGAAAGGGAAUUAACCAAUCUCCUUAUAUUUAAUUUUAAUAAAAAGGAAAAAAGAUUUGUGGGAAUUAAUUUU
This 1970-nucleotide long non-coding RNA is filed under the name Cyanistes caeruleus (blue tit). RNAcentral describes it as "lncRNA (ENSCCEG00000007758.1)". The record is from RNAcentral. Lineage: Eukaryota; Metazoa; Chordata; Aves; Passeriformes; Paridae.